AUAUGAAUUAUCUGGCAUCAAAGAAUAAGGUUUUUAAGUCCUAUAUUGGGAUGGGAUAUUAUAACACUCAUGUUCCACCUGUGAUUUUGAGGAAUAUAAUGGAGAAUCCGGCUUGGUAUACCCAGUACACACCGUACCAAGCUGAGAUAUCUCAGGGUAGAUUGGAGUCUUUGCUCAAUUACCAAACCAUGAUCACGGAUCUUACUGGAUUGCCUAUGUCAAAUGCUUCAUUGCUUGAUGAAGGGACUGCUGCUGCAGAGGCAAUGGCCAUGUGUAAUAACAUUCAAAAGGGAAAGAAAAAGACUUUUAUUAUUGCUAAUAAUUGUCACCCUCAAACUAUUGAUAUUUGUGAUACUAGAGCCGGAGGUUUUGAUCUUAAGGUAGUUACCGCAGAUCUUAAGGACAUUGAUUAUAAAUCUGGGGAUGUUUGUGGGGUCUUAGUUCAGUAUCCCGGGACUGAAGGUGAAGUUUUGGAUUAUGGAGAGUUUAUAAAGAAUGCUCAUGCUCAUGGAGUUAAGGUUGUUAUGGCAUCGGAUUUGUUGGCAUUGACGAUGUUGAAGCCUCCUGGUGAACUGGGUGCGGAUAUUGUUGUUGGUUCAGCUCAGAGGUUUGGUGUUCCAAUGGGGUAUGGUGGUCCUCAUGCUGCGUUUUUGGCAACCUCACAAGAGUACAAGAGGAUGAUGCCUGGUAGAAUUAUUGGUGUUAGUGUUGAUUCUUCAGGAAAGCCUGCUCUGCGCAUGGCGAUGCAAACUAGGGAGCAGCAUAUUCGCAGGGACAAGGCUACCAGCAACAUCUGUACUGCUCAAGUAAGAGAUUACUGUUUAUAUUGUUCUUUUCUUAUUUAUAUUCUGAGAACUGCUUGUAUAGAGUAAUGAAACUCAUUAAGUUGCCCUGUUUUCUGACAAAGUUACGAUACACAGUAUGCCUAGCUCAAAAUUAUUGGAAGGAACAUAAUUACUAGUAUUUUUACUAAACCACCAAAGCGGGCAUAUUGCAUAUGUGUUGGUUGUGCUUCAAUUGAAAGGAGUCUCUUGUUCUGUUUAGGCAUUGCUUGCAAACAUGGCUGCUAUGUAUGCUGUCUAUCAUGGACCUGAAGGCCUUAAAACCAUCGCCCAAAGGGUCCAUGGUCUUGCUGGAGCAUUCACAGUUGGACUGAAGAAACUUGGGACAGUUGAAGUCCAGGGCCUUCCCUUCUUUGACACUGUGAAGGUUAAGUGUGCUGAUGCACAUGCAAUUGCUGAUGCUGCUUACAAAAGCGAGAUAAAUUUGAGAGUUGUAGAUGCAAAAACC
RNAcentral lists this long non-coding RNA (1290 nucleotides) under Populus trichocarpa (black cottonwood). RNAcentral describes it as "long non-coding RNA (PTRI_LNC001865)". The record is from RNAcentral. Lineage: Eukaryota; Viridiplantae; Streptophyta; Magnoliopsida; Malpighiales; Salicaceae.